This 162-nucleotide ribosomal RNA is filed under the name Borya scirpoidea. Its description in RNAcentral is "5.8S ribosomal RNA". It matches the Rfam family "5.8S ribosomal RNA". Rfam says of the family: 5.8S ribosomal RNA (5.8S rRNA) is a component of the large subunit of the eukaryotic ribosome. It is transcribed by RNA polymerase I as part of the 45S precursor that also contains 18S and 28S rRNA. The record is from RNAcentral. RNAcentral also lists the same sequence under 1 other name. Lineage: Eukaryota; Viridiplantae; Streptophyta; Magnoliopsida; Asparagales; Boryaceae.
UACGACUCUCGGCAACGGAUAUCUCGGCUCUCGCAUCGAUGAAGAACGUAGCGAAAUGCGAUACUUGGUGUGAAUUGCAGAAUCCCGUGAACCAUCGAGUCUUUGAACGCAAGUUGCGCCCGAGGCCUCCAGGCCGAGGGCACGCCUGCCUGGGCGUCACGC